UUGCCCCUACGGGGGGCAGCAGUGAGGAAUAUUGGUCAAUGGGCGAGAGCCUGAACCAGCCAAGUCGCGUGAGGGAAGACGGUCCUAUGGAUUGUAAACCUCUUUUGUCGGGGAGCAAAAGCCGGACGUGUCCGGCUGUGAGAGUACCCGAAGAAAAAGCAUCGGCUAACUCCGUGCCAGCAGCCGCGGUAAUACGGAGGAUGCGAGCGUUAUCCGGAUUUAUUGGGUUUAAAGGGUGCGCAGGCGGAUUUUUAAGUCAGCGGUCAAAUCGUGGGGCUCAACCCCAUCCAGCCGUUGAAACUGGG
Molecule: ribosomal RNA, 305 nt
Filed under: uncultured bacterium
Lineage: Bacteria
Description: bacterial SSU rRNA
Rfam family: Bacterial small subunit ribosomal RNA
Source: RNAcentral